UACAGAGGUCUCAAGCGUUGUUCGGAUUCAUUGGGCGUAAAGGGUGCGUAGGUGGCGCGCUAAGUCAGGUGUGAAAUUUCGGAGCUUAACUCCGAGACUGCAUUUGAUACUGGCGUGCUUGAGGACUGGAGAGGAGACUGGAAUUCAUGGUGUAGCAGUGAAAUGCGUAGAGAUCAUGAGGAAGACCAGUGGCGAAGGCGGGUCUCUGGACAGUUCCUGACACUGAGGCACGAAGGCCAGGGGAGCAAACGGG
RNAcentral lists this ribosomal RNA (253 nucleotides) under uncultured bacterium. RNAcentral's name for it is "partial 16S ribosomal RNA". It matches the Rfam family "Bacterial small subunit ribosomal RNA", at positions 524 to 776 of the family's 1533-position model. The record is from RNAcentral.